This 384-nucleotide ribosomal RNA is filed under the name uncultured bacterium. RNAcentral's name for it is "bacterial SSU rRNA". It matches the Rfam family "Bacterial small subunit ribosomal RNA", at positions 28 to 409 of the family's 1533-position model. The record is from RNAcentral.
GACGAACGUUGGCGGCGUGCCUAAUACAUGCAAGUCAACUGAAAUACCGGUAGCAAUACUGGUAUGGAGGUGGCGCACGGGUGAGUAACACGUAGGUAAUCUGCCUUCAGGUCUGACAUAACCCAUCGAAAGGUGAGCUAAUAUCAGAUGAUGCAGCGGCUUGACAUCAAGACAGUUGUUAAAGCUUCGGCGCCUGAAGAUGAGCCUGCGUCUGAUUAGCUAGUUGGCGGGGUAACGGCCCACCAAGGCUGCGAUCAGUAGCUGGUCUGAGAGGAUGAUCAGUCACGCUGGAACUGAGACACGGUCCAGACUCCUACGGGAGGCAGCAGUAAGGAAUAUUGCUCAAUGGCCGAAAGGCUGAAGCAGCAACGCCGCGUGAGGGAU